CCUACGGGUGGCAGCAGUGAGGAAUAUUGGUCAAUGGCCGUAAGCCUGAACCAGCCACGCCGCGUGAAGGAAGAAGGAUCUCUGGUUUGUAAACUUCUUUUAUAGGGGAAUAAAGGUAUCCACGUGUGGAUAUUUGCAUGUACCCUAUGAAUAAGCAUCGGCUAACUCCGUGCCAGCAGCCGCGGUAAUACGGAGGAUGCGAGCGUUAUCCGGAUUUAUUGGGUUUAAAGGGUGCGUAGGUUGUUUUUUAAGUCAGCGGUGAAAGUUUGUGGCUCAACCAUAAAAUUGCCGUUGAAACUGGAGAACUGGAGUGUGUUAGAGGCAGGCGGAAUGCGUGGUGUAGCGGUGAAAUGCAUAGAUAUUACGAAGAACACCGAUGGCGAAGGCAGCUUACUAAGCCAUAACUGACACUGAAGCACGAAAGCGUGGGGAGCAAACAGGAUUAGAUACCCCUGUAGUC
RNAcentral lists this ribosomal RNA (460 nucleotides) under uncultured bacterium. RNAcentral's name for it is "partial 16S ribosomal RNA". It matches the Rfam family "Bacterial small subunit ribosomal RNA", at positions 338 to 795 of the family's 1533-position model. The record is from RNAcentral.